Molecule: ribosomal RNA, 1056 nt
Filed under: Triticum aestivum (bread wheat)
Lineage: Eukaryota; Viridiplantae; Streptophyta; Magnoliopsida; Poales; Poaceae
Description: partial small subunit ribosomal RNA
Source: RNAcentral
AUGGCAGGUAUGAAAACCUUCAGGGAAGGGGCGAUCUGGCGGGUUGGGGAUGGUGCAUCCAUUGACAUUUGGAAGGAUCAGUGGAUUCCCACAAGCCAUGAUCGGAGGGUUAUGACCCCAAGGGGGCAUUGCUUGUUACAGAAAGUACAAGAACUGGUUGAUCCAAUAUCCGGAAGCUGGGAUGAACAAUUAGUAAGGGAAAUUUUUUGGCCAGUGGAUGCUGAAAGAAUUUUGCAGAUACCACUAUCAUCUCAUGGCCAGUCUGAUUUUAUUUCAUGGCAGUUUUCUAAGUCGGGAUGUUUCACGGUCCGGUCUGCUUAUCGCAUCACUUGGAAAUCUGUGUACAGAACACGGGCUCGGAUGAAUGUUGGAGCAGGAAGAGUGGAUCCGCACCCGGUUUGGAAAGUCCCUUGGGGCAGGUCAGUGCCCCCUAAGGUAAAUGUGUUUAACUGGAGAGUGCUACAUGGGAUUGUACCAUGCUAUUGUACGCUGUCAAAUCGGCACCUAUCUACUCCGGUGAUUUGUCCAGUAUGCGGCAAUGAGCCUGAGGAUCUGCGACAUAUGUUGUUUGCGUGCGAAAGAGCCAAGGCCGUGUGGAAGGAGCUGGGGCUGGAAACAUCGAUCGCGAAUGCAGCAUCCCAUGAUCGGUCGGGGUCGGUAAUCCUGGAGACACUCCUCUGCUCUGAGCUACCAGGAGAGGUAAAACUACCAAUUGAUAAUGGUGUGGAGACAGUUAUGGUGACUGGAUGGUACUUAUGGUGGAAUCGUCGGAAGAUCAGUCACCAGGAGAAGGUUGGUAGCCCGGUUCGCUCAGCUAUGAGCAUUCGGGCAAUCGUGGCAAACUCUCUGGCUGCAAAGGCAAAGGAGCCCACAAAACAGAUUAGAUGGGUGAGACCAGCAAAAGGGGUGAUUAAACUAAACGUUGACGCGAGCUAUCAUGUGGAUGAGGGAGCGGGAGCAACUGGAGCUGUCUUACAGAUAGCUCAGGAGCGUUUAUUGCUGCUUCUUGCUCCUUUCGACAGUAUGCCAUGGAUGUUCCCUCUAUGGAAGCGAUAG